GGGUUGUGAGGUUAAGCGACUAAGCGUACACGGUGGAUGCCCUGGCAGUCAGAGGCGAUGAAGGACGUGCUAAUCUGCGAAAAGCGCCGGCGAGGUGAUAUGAACCUUUGACCCGGCGAUGUCCGAAUGGGGAAACCCAGUGCAAUUCGUUGCACUAUCGUUAACUGAAUACAUAGGUUAACGAGGCGAACCGGGGGAACUGAAACAUCUAAGUACCCCGAGGAAAAGAAAUCAACCGAGAUUCCCCCAGUAGCGGCGAGCGAACGGGGAGCAGCCCGGAGUCUGAAUCAGCGUGUGUGUUAGUGGAACGGUCUGGAAAGUCCGACGGUACAGGGUGAUAGUCCCGUACACGAAAGCACACAUGCUGUGAACUCGAAGAGUAGGGCGGGACACGUGGUAUCCUGUCUGAAUAUGGGGGGACCAUCCUCCAAGGCUAAAUACUCCUGACUGACCGAUAGUGAACCAGUACCGUGAGGGAAAGGCGA
Molecule: ribosomal RNA, 485 nt
Filed under: Enterobacter hormaechei
Lineage: Bacteria; Pseudomonadati; Pseudomonadota; Gammaproteobacteria; Enterobacterales; Enterobacteriaceae
Description: partial 23S ribosomal RNA
Rfam family: Bacterial large subunit ribosomal RNA
Source: RNAcentral